This 1022-nucleotide long non-coding RNA is filed under the name Oryza sativa (Asian cultivated rice). RNAcentral's name for it is "long non-coding RNA (OSAT_LNC001248)". The record is from RNAcentral. Lineage: Eukaryota; Viridiplantae; Streptophyta; Magnoliopsida; Poales; Poaceae.
UUUGGUCAAAUGCCGCACCACUCUUGGACAGGUAUUAGCUUUAUUUCCUGUGGAGAUGGUAGAAAACUCAGCUUACAGAAAUGGCAUUUCACGUAGUAUAACGCAAGACAUUAGGUACUAAAACUCAACUAACUGUUUCCGAAUUUCAGGGCCCCUCCAAGGAUCCCAGAAAUCAUCAUCUCUGAACAUGCCUUCAGAGAAAUGGCAUUGACCGUCCAUUACAAACUAACGUACACUGUAUCUGUUCUUUACGACAUUGCAUGUGGAAAGGAUCUGAAGAGAUUUCUCCUGGUACAUAAUAAUCUACUCCUUUGCUACGUUAAUAAGAGAUGUAAAAACAUGCAACAGUUCCAGUGCCAACAUUGUCCAAGGAUUGUGCAAUUCUUUCUGGAGCGCUAAAAUUGACCAGAUUAGACGCAUCAGAAUAUUGAAUUGCAGAGUUAGCCAAUAAUCCUCAUAAUGUUAAUGUGCUAUUGUUGUUCACUACUCAAUAUAGUUCUGGACUAACAAUCAGAUUGUUUAUGAUAUUAAGGUGGUUGGAUCUCUAUUGGUAUUGUCGGCGAUUGGAAGUUCUUGCAGCUUGACAAGUCUACUAUAUAUUGGUAGGUAUUCCAGAUAAAUAUUAAAUUUUAAUAAAACAAUCACACAGAAGGAUCUGAGGAGAAACAAUUUAGAGUCAAGAUCAUAUAAAGCUAAACUUUCACAAUGACAAGUUUGUAUUUCUUACUUCACAGGAUUCUUGUGCGCGCACACUUUGCCAGUGUUGUACCAAAGAUAUAAGACAGAAGUUGACCAUCUAGUUGCAAAGGGUAGCGACGACAUCAAGAAGUUCUACAAGAAGGUUGAUUCCAAUCUGCUCAACAAAAUACCAAGAGGCCCUGUGAAGACAAAAGUUAAAUGAAAUGUACACCGCGAGGCUGUCAGAACAUAUAAAUAAUUCAUUUGAAAGAGAACGGACAUACACUGGAAAAGAUUUCGAGAACUUAAUAGAAGUAGCAAAGUGUCAUGGACUGACAGUCCAC